ACGGGAGGCAGCAGUGAGGAAUAUUGGUCAAUGGACGAGAGUCUGAACCAGCCAGUAGCGUGCAGGAUGACGGCCCUCCGGGUUGUAAACUACUUUUAGUUGGGAAUAAAAGAAGGGACGUGUCCCUUAUUGUAUGUACCAUCAGAAAAAGGACCGGCUAAUUCCGUGCCAGCAGCCGCGGUAAUACGGAAGGUCCGGGCGUUAUCCGGAUUUAUUGGGUUUAAAGGGAGCGUAGGCGGGCUUUUAAGUCAGUGGUAAAAGCGUGUGGCUCAACCAUACCACGCCAUUGAAACUGGAAGUCUUGAGUGCACACAGGGAUGCUGGAAUUCGUCGUGUAGCGGUGAAAUGCUUAGAUAUGACGAAGAACUCCGAUCGCGAAGGCAGGUGUCCGGGGUGUAACUGACGCUGAGGCUCGAAAGUGCGGGUAUCAAACAGGAUUAGAUACCCUGGUA
RNAcentral lists this ribosomal RNA (452 nucleotides) under uncultured Alloprevotella sp. Its description in RNAcentral is "partial 16S ribosomal RNA". It matches the Rfam family "Bacterial small subunit ribosomal RNA", at positions 341 to 792 of the family's 1533-position model. The record is from RNAcentral. Lineage: Bacteria; Pseudomonadati; Bacteroidota; Bacteroidia; Bacteroidales; Prevotellaceae.